UACGGGGGGGGCAAGCGUUGUUCGGAAUUACUGGGCGUAAAGGGCUCGUAGGCGGCCAACUAAGUCAUACGUGAAAUCCCUCGGCUUAACCGGGGAACUGCGUCUGAUACUGGAUGGCUUGAGAUUGGGAGAGGGAUGCGGAAUUCCAGGUGUAGCGGUGAAAUGCGUAGAUAUCUGGAGGAACACCGGUGGCGAAGGCGGUUCUCUGGGCCUGACCUGACGCUGAGGAGCGAAAGCGUGGGGAGCGAACAGG
This 253-nucleotide ribosomal RNA is filed under the name uncultured bacterium. Its description in RNAcentral is "partial 16S ribosomal RNA". It matches the Rfam family "Bacterial small subunit ribosomal RNA", at positions 524 to 776 of the family's 1533-position model. The record is from RNAcentral.